RNAcentral lists this unclassified non-coding RNA (348 nucleotides) under soil metagenome. RNAcentral describes it as "partial contains 5.8S ribosomal RNA, internal transcribed spacer 2, and large subunit ribosomal RNA". The stretch from base 1 to 120 matches the Rfam family "5.8S ribosomal RNA", at positions 35 to 154 of the family's 154-position model. The record is from RNAcentral.
GAUGAAGAACGCAGCAAAAUGCGAUACGUAAUGUGAAUUGCAGAAUUCAGUGAAUCAUCGAAUCUUUGAACGCACAUUGCGCCCGCUGGUAUUCCGGCGGGCAUGCCUGUUCGAGCGUCAUUUCAACCCUCAAGCCCCCGGGUUUGGUGUUGGGGAUCGGCUCUGCCCUUCUGGGCGGUGCCGCCCCCGAAAUACAUUGGCGGUCUCGCUGCAGCCUCCAUUGCGUAGUAGCUAACACCUCGCAACUGGAACGCGGCGCGGCCAUGCCGUAAAACCCCAACUUCUGAAUGUUGACCUCGGAUCAGGUAGGAAUACCCGCUGAACUUAAGCAUACCAAUAAGCGGAGGA